GACGAACGCUGGCGGCGUGCUUAACACAUGCAAGUCGAACGGAAAGGCCCUGCUUUUGUGGGGUGCUCGAGUGGCGAACGGGUGAGUAACACGUGAGUAACCUGCCCUUGACUUUGGGAUAACUUCAGGAAACUGGGGCUAAUACCGGAUAGGAGCUCCUGCUGCAUGGUGGGGGUUGGAAAGUUUCGGCGGUUGGGGAUGGACUCGCGGCUUAUCAGCUUGUUGGUGGGGUAGUGGCUUACCAAGGCUUUGACGGGUAGCCGGCCUGAGAGGGUGACCGGCCACAUUGGGACUGAGAGACGGCCCAGACUCAUACGGGAGGCAGCAGUGGGGAAUAUUGCACAAUGGGCGGAAGCCUGAUGCAGCAACGCCGCGUGCGGGAUGACGGCCUUCGGGUUGUAAACCGCUUUCGCCUGUGACGAAGCGUGAGUGACGGUAAUGGGUAAAGAAGCACCGGCUAACUACGU
This 467-nucleotide ribosomal RNA is filed under the name uncultured bacterium. RNAcentral describes it as "partial 16S ribosomal RNA". It matches the Rfam family "Bacterial small subunit ribosomal RNA", at positions 28 to 506 of the family's 1533-position model. The record is from RNAcentral.